Molecule: ribosomal RNA, 761 nt
Filed under: uncultured Prevotella sp.
Lineage: Bacteria; Pseudomonadati; Bacteroidota; Bacteroidia; Bacteroidales; Prevotellaceae
Description: bacterial SSU rRNA
Rfam family: Bacterial small subunit ribosomal RNA
Source: RNAcentral
GAUGAACGCUAGCUAUAGGCUUAACACAUGCAAGUCGAGGGGAAACGGCAUUAUGUGCUUGCACAUUUUGGACGUCGACCGGCGCACGGGUGAGUAUCGCGUAUCCAACCUGCCCUUUACUUGGGGAUACCCCGCUGAAAGACGGCCUAAUACCCGAUGUAAUUCAUUGAUGGCAUCAGAUAUGAAUAAAAGAUUUAUCGGUAAAGGAUGGGGAUGCGUCUGAUUAGCUUGUUGGUGAGGUAAAGGCUCACCAAGGCGACGAUCAGUAGGGGUUCUGAGAGGAAGGUCCCCCACAUUGGAACUGAGACACGGUCCAAACUCCUACGGGAGGCAGCAGUGAGGAAUAUUGGUCAAUGGACGGAAGUCUGAACCAGCCAAGUAGCGUGCAGGAAGACGGCCCUAUGGGUUGUAAACUGCUUUUAUACGAGAAUAAUUUGAUGCACGUGUGCGUUAUUGCAUGUAUCGUAUGAAUAAGGACCGGCUAAUUCCGUGCCAGCAGCCGCGGUAAUACGGAAGGUCCAGGCGUUAUCCGGAUUUAUUGGGUUUAAAGGGAGUGUAGGCGGUUUGUUAAGCGUGUUGUGAAAUUUAGGUGCUCAACAUUUAACUUGCAGCGCGAACUGUCAGACUUGAGUACACGCAACGUAUGCGGAAUUCAUGGUGUAGCGGUGAAAUGCUUAGAUAUCAUGAAGAACUCCGAUUGCGAAGGCAGCAUACGGGAGUGUAACUGACGCUUAAGCUCGAAGGUGCGGGUAUCGAACAGG